AACUGGAUGGCGGGUGCUAUACAUGCAGUCGACGAGUUCUGAUUAUUGAAAGGUGCUUGCAUCUUGAUUUAAUUUUGAACGAGUGGCGGACGGGUGAGUAACACGUGGGUAACCUGCCCUUAAGUGGGGGAUAACAUUUGGAAACAGAUGCUAAUACCGCAUAAAUCCAAGAACCGCAUGGUUCUUGGCUGAAAGAUGGCGUAAGCUAUCGCUUUUGGAUGGACCCGCGGCGUAUUAGCUAGUUGGUGAGGUAACGGCUCACCAAGGCAAUGAUACGUAGCCGAACUGAGAGGUUGAUCGGCCACAUUGGGACUGAGACACGGCCCAAACUCCUACGGGAGGCAGCAGUAGGGAAUCUUCCACAAUGGACGCAAGUCUGAUGGAGCAACGCCGCGUGAGUGAAGAAGGCUUUCGGGUCGUAAAACUCUGUUGUUGGAGAAGAAUGGUCGGCAGAGUAACUGUUGUCGGCGUGACGGUAUCCAACCAGAAAGCCACGGCUAACUACGUGCCAGCAGCCGCGGUAAUACGUAGGUGGCAAGCGUUAUCCGGAUUUAUUGGGCGUAAAGCGAGCGCAGGCGGUUUUUUAAGUCUGAUGUGAAAGCCCUCGGCUUAACCGAGGAAGUGCAUCGGAAACUGGGAAACUUGAGUGCAGAAGAGGACAGUGGAACUCCAUGUGUAGCGGUGAAAUGCGUAGAUAUAUGGAAGAACACCAGUGGCGAAGGCGGCUGUCUGGUCUGUAACUGACGCUGAGGCUCGAAAGCAUGGGUAGCGAACAGGAUUAGAUACCCUGGUAGUCCAUGCCGUAAACGAUGAAUGCUAGGUGUUGGAGGGUUUCCGCCCUUCAGUGCCGCAGCUAACGCAUUAAGCAUUCCGCCUGGGAGUACGACCGCAAGGUUGAAACUCAAAGGAAUUGACGGGGGCCCGCACAAGCGGUGGAGCAUGUGGUUUAAUUCGAAGCACGCGAAGAACCUUACCAGGUCUUGACAUCUUUUGAUCACCUGAGAGAUCAAGGUUUCUCU
RNAcentral lists this ribosomal RNA (1019 nucleotides) under Lacticaseibacillus rhamnosus. RNAcentral's name for it is "bacterial SSU rRNA". It matches the Rfam family "Bacterial small subunit ribosomal RNA", at positions 32 to 1019 of the family's 1533-position model. Lineage: Bacteria; Bacillati; Bacillota; Bacilli; Lactobacillales; Lactobacillaceae. The record is from RNAcentral.